ACCACGGCUUGCAAAUCCAUUUUCACCGCCCUUCUCCUCCUCUUCCUCCUUGUUUUUCCAUUGCUUGCUCUCUCUAACAGAGACCCGCAGAGGGAAGAGAGAAAAAGGAAGGAGAAAGAGUGCAAGUCUCAGUGUGAGAGGUCUAGAGAAGGAAAGCGUGAGGUGAGGCAGUGCAAGCAAAAGUGUGAGGAGAGGUACAGGAGAGACCCACAGAGGGAAGAGAGAAAAAGGCCCGAGAAAGAGUGCAAAUCUGAGUGUGUGAGGUUUAGAGAGAGAAAGUGUGAGGUGAAGCAGUGCAAGCAAGAGUGUGAGGGGAGGUACAGGAGAGAGAAAGGGCAGGGCAGGGAUAUAGGGGAUAGAGCGAGAGCGAGAGCGAGCGGAGACUGCCAGGAGCGACUGGGAAUGCAAGAGUGGUUCUGCUUGAUGAAGAGAAGCAUGAUUCAUACAAUGUGCAACAAGGAGAUAUUGCGUGGUUGCCUGCUGGCAAAACCGGUUAUGUCAUCAACACAGACAGCCAAAUAGACCUUCACGUUGUCGGACUCAUUCAAACCAUCUCAACUCCAAGGGAAUUCAAGAUCUUCUUUGAUGCCACAGGUCAGAACCCGCCUUCGUAUUUGAGGGCUUUCAGCAAUGAAAUCCUAGAGGGUUCCUUCAACGU
Amborella trichopoda is the source of this 658-nucleotide non-coding RNA. The record is from RefSeq and is a predicted model, not a curated record. Lineage: Eukaryota; Viridiplantae; Streptophyta; Magnoliopsida; Amborellales; Amborellaceae.